ACGGGGGGAGCAAGCGUUGUUCGGAAUCAUUGGGCGUAAAGCGCACGUAGGCGGCCCAGCAAGUCGGGUGUGAAAGCCCUCGGCUCAACCGAGGAAGUGCAUUCGAAACUACUGGGCUUGAAUACUGGAGAGGAUCGCGGAAUUCCCGGUGUAGAGGUGAAAUUCGUAGAUAUCGGGAGGAACACCAGUGGCGAAGGCGGCGAUCUGGACAGAUAUUGACGCUGAGGUGCGAAAGCGUGGGGAGCAAACAGGA
Molecule: ribosomal RNA, 253 nt
Filed under: uncultured prokaryote
Description: partial 16S ribosomal RNA
Rfam family: Bacterial small subunit ribosomal RNA
Source: RNAcentral